This 495-nucleotide ribosomal RNA is filed under the name uncultured bacterium. Its description in RNAcentral is "partial 16S ribosomal RNA". It matches the Rfam family "Bacterial small subunit ribosomal RNA", at positions 28 to 523 of the family's 1533-position model. The record is from RNAcentral.
GAUGAACGCUGGCGGCGCGCUUAACACAUGCAAGUCGAACGAAGCACUUUGGAAUGAUUCUUCGGAUGAGUGAAGAAGUGACUUAGUGGCGGACGGGUGAGUAACGCGUGGAUAACCUGCCUUAUACUGGGGGACAACAGUUAGAAAUGACUGCUAAUACCGCAUAAGCGCACAGUACCGCAUGGUACGGUGUGAAAAACUCCGGUGGUAUAAGAUGGAUCCGCGUCUGAUUAGCUAGUUGGUGAGGUAACGGCUCACCAAGGCGACGAUCAGUAGCCGGCCUGAGAGGGUGAACGGCCACAUUGGGACUGAGACACGGCCCAGACUCCUACGGGAGGCAGCAGUGGGGAAUAUUGCACAAUGGGCGAAAGCCUGAUGCAGCGACGCCGCGUGAGCGAAGAAGUAUUUCGGUAUGUAAAGCUCUAUCAGCAAGGAAGAUAAUGACGGUACUUGACUAAGAAGCCCCGGCUAACUACGUGCCAGCAGCCGCAGUAA